RNAcentral lists this ribosomal RNA (123 nucleotides) under Escherichia coli. RNAcentral's name for it is "partial 16S ribosomal RNA". It matches the Rfam family "Bacterial small subunit ribosomal RNA", at positions 1 to 114 of the family's 1533-position model. Lineage: Bacteria; Pseudomonadati; Pseudomonadota; Gammaproteobacteria; Enterobacterales; Enterobacteriaceae. RNAcentral also lists the same sequence under 2 other names. The record is from RNAcentral.
UUAAAUUGAAGAGUUUGAUCAUGGCUCAGAUUGAACGCUGGCGGCAGGCCUAACACAUGCAAGUCGAACGGUAACAGGAAGAAGCUUGCUUCUUUGCUGACGAGUGGCGGACGGGUGAGUAAU